AUGGGUUCGUCGACGGCGCGCGUUCUCCUCGCGGUGGCUCUCGCCGUGCUUCUAACGUCGACGUCCCAUGUCGCUGAUGCCGCCAGGCCCGCGCCGGCGGCGGACCAGGCGCUGCUGCUCGACGGCGGCGUCGUCCAGGCGGUGACGCUGGCGGACAAGGCGAGGCAGACGGUGGAGCUGCUCAUGGCCAGGUUGCCGGCCGGUCCCAGCCCCAAGGGACCCGGCCACUAG
Molecule: ribosomal RNA, 231 nt
Filed under: Triticum aestivum (bread wheat)
Lineage: Eukaryota; Viridiplantae; Streptophyta; Magnoliopsida; Poales; Poaceae
Description: partial small subunit ribosomal RNA
Source: RNAcentral